GGGUUGUGAGGUUAAGCGACUAAGCGUACACGGUGGAUGCCCUGGCAGUCAGAGGCGAUGAAGGACGUGCUAAUCUGCGAUAAGCGCCGGUAAGGUGAUAUGAACCGUUAUAACCGGCGAUUUCCGAAUGGGGAAACCCAGUGUGAUUCGUCACACUAUCAUUAACUGAAUCCAUAGGUUAAUGAGGCGAACCGGGGGAACUGAAACAUCUAAGUACCCCGAGGAAAAGAAAUCAACCGAGAUUCCCCCAGUAGCGGCGAGCGAACGGGGAGGAGCCCAGAGCCUGAAUCAGCAUGUGUGUUAGUGGAAGCGUCUGGAAAGGUGCGCGAUACAGGGUGACAGCCCCGUACACAAAAGCGCAUGUGCUGUGAGCUCGAUGAGUAGGGCGGGACACGUGGUAUCCUGUCUGAAUAUGGGGGGACCAUCCUCCAAGGCUAAAUACUCCUGACUGACCGAUAGUGAACCAGUACCGUGAGGGAAAGGCGAAAAGAACCCCGGCGAGGGGAGUGAAAAAGAACCUGAAACCGUGUACGUACAAGCAGUGGGAGCACCCUUCGGGGUGUGACUGCGUACCUUUUGUAUAAUGGGUCAGCGACUUAUAUUCUGUAGCAAGGUUAACCGUAUAGGGGAGCCGGAGGGAAACCGAGUCUUAACCGGGCGUUAAGUUGCAGGGUAUAGACCCGAAACCCGGUGAUCUAGCCAUGGGCAGGUUGAAGGUUGGGUAACACUAACUGGAGGACCGAACCGACUAAUGUUGAAAAAUUAGCGGAUGACCUGUGGCUGGGGGUGAAAGGCCAAUCAAACCGGGAGAUAGCUGGUUCUCCCCGAAAGCUAUUUAGGUAGCGCCUCGUGAAUUCAUCUCCGGGGGUAGAGCACUGUUUCGGCUAGGGGGCCAUCCCGGCUUACCAACCCGAUGCAAACUGCGAAUACCGGAGAAUGUUAUCACGGGAGACACACGGCGGGUGCUAACGUCCGUCGUGAAGAGGGAAACAACCCAGACCGCCAGCUAAGGUCCCAAAGUCAUGGUUAAGUGGGAAACGAUGUGGGAAGGCCCAGACAGCCAGGAUGUUGGCUUAGAAGCAGCCAUCAUUUAAAGAAAGCGUAAUAGCUCACUGGUCGAGUCGGCCUGCGCGGAAGAUGUAACGGGGCUAAACCAUGCACCGAAGCUGCGGCAGCGAACGUAUCACCCAAGACAACUUUACGGAGUUGACGAUUGACGGAGCGAAGCGACGUCAAAGCGUUCAUUAAAGUCGAGUUGGCUUAGGGAUACGUUCGUUGGGUAGGGGAGCGUUCUGUAAGCCUGUGAAGGUGUGUCGUGAGGCAUGCUGGAGGUAUCAGAAGUGCGAAUGCUGACAUAAGUAACGAUAAAGCGGGUGAAAAGCCCGCUCGCCGGAAGACCAAGGGUUCCUGUCCAACGUUAAUCGGGGCAGGGUGAGUCGACCCCUAAGGCGAGGCCGAAAGGCGUAGUCGAUGGGAAACGGGUUAAUAUUCCCGUACUUGGUGUUACUGCGAAGGGGGGACGGAGAAGGCUAUGUUGGCCGGGCGACGGUUGUCCCGGUUUAAGCGUGUAGGUGUGUGUUCCAGGUAAAUCCGGUUCACUUUAACACUGAGGCGUGACGACGAGGCACUACGGUGCUGAAGCAACAAAUGCCCUGCUUCCAGGAAAAGCCUCUAAGCAUCAGGUAACACGAAAUCGUACCCCAAACCGACACAGGUGGUCAGGUAGAGAAUACCAAGGCGCUUGAGAGAACUCGGGUGAAGGAACUAGGCAAAAUGGUGCCGUAACUUCGGGAGAAGGCACGCUGACACGUAGGUGAAGUGAUUUACUCAUGGAGCUGAAGUCAGUCGAAGAUACCAGCUGGCUGCAACUGUUUAUUAAAAACACAGCACUGUGCAAACACGAAAGUGGACGUAUACGGUGUGACGCCUGCCCGGUGCCGGAAGGUUAAUUGAUGGGGUCAGCGUAAGCGAAGCUCCUGAUCGAAGCCCCGGUAAACGGCGGCCGUAACUAUAACGGUCCUAAGGUAGCGAAAUUCCUUGUCGGGUAAGUUCCGACCUGCACGAAUGGCGUAAUGAUGGCCAGGCUGUCUCCACCCGAGACUCAGUGAAAUUGAACUCGCUGUGAAGAUGCAGUGUACCCGCGGCAAGACGGAAAGACCCCGUGAACCUUUACUAUAGCUUGACACUGAACAUUGAGCCUUGAUGUGUAGGAUAGGUGGGAGGCUUUGAAGUGUGGACGCCAGUCUGCAUGGAGCCGACCUUGAAAUACCACCCUUUAAUGUUUGAUGUUCUAACGUGGACCCGUAAUCCGGGUUGCGGACAGUGUCUGGUGGGUAGUUUGACUGGGGCGGUCUCCUCCUAAAGAGUAACGGAGGAGCACGAAGGUUGGCUAAUCCUGGUCGGACAUCAGGAGGUUAGUGCAAUGGCAUAAGCCAGCUUGACUGCGAGCGUGACGGCGCGAGCAGGUGCGAAAGCAGGUCAUAGUGAUCCGGUGGUUCUGAAUGGAAGGGCCAUCGCUCAACGGAUAAAAGGUACUCCGGGGAUAACAGGCUGAUACCGCCCAAGAGUUCAUAUCGACGGCGGUGUUUGGCACCUCGAUGUCGGCUCAUCACAUCCUGGGGCUGAAGUAGGUCCCAAGGGUAUGGCUGUUCGCCAUUUAAAGUGGUACGCGAGCUGGGUUUAGAACGUCGUGAGACAGUUCGGUCCCUAUCUGCCGUGGGCGCUGGAGAACUGAGGGGGGCUGCUCCUAGUACGAGAGGACCGGAGUGGACGCAUCACUGGUGUUCGGGUUGUCAUGCCAAUGGCACUGCCCGGUAGCUAAAUGCGGAAGAGAUAAGUGCUGAAAGCAUCUAAGCACGAAACUUGCCCCGAGAUGAGUUCUCCCUGAGACUUAGAGUCUCCUGAAGGAACGUUGAAGACGACGACGUUGAUAGGCCGGGUGUGUAAGCGCAGCGAUGCGUUGAGCUAACCGGUACUAAUGAACCGUGAGGCUUAACCUUACA
Molecule: ribosomal RNA, 3002 nt
Filed under: Salmonella enterica subsp. enterica serovar Typhimurium
Lineage: Bacteria; Pseudomonadati; Pseudomonadota; Gammaproteobacteria; Enterobacterales; Enterobacteriaceae
Description: partial 23S ribosomal RNA
Rfam family: Bacterial large subunit ribosomal RNA
Source: RNAcentral